RNAcentral lists this unclassified non-coding RNA (386 nucleotides) under soil metagenome. RNAcentral describes it as "partial contains 5.8S ribosomal RNA, internal transcribed spacer 2, and large subunit ribosomal RNA". The stretch from base 1 to 120 matches the Rfam family "5.8S ribosomal RNA", at positions 35 to 154 of the family's 154-position model. The record is from RNAcentral.
GAUGAAGAACGUAGCGAAAUGCGAUAAGUAAUGUGAAUUGCAGAAUUCAGUGAAUCAUCGAAUCUUUGAACGCACCUUGCACCCUUUGGCAUUCCGAAGGGUAUGCUCGUUUGAGUGUCAUUGUACUCUCACACUCUCCGAUCCUAUGGAUUCGGGGAGCGGUGGACUUGGGUGUUGCUGCCUUUCCUUGUGGCUCACCUCAAAUGUGUCAGUGCACCUCUUGGUUGGACAUAGUACGGCGUGAUAAGUGUCUUCGCCGGCACCUCGCAAGAGGGUGGCCGAUCGGGAGCUCUGUGCUUUCAAACCGUCUUCGGACAAUUUCUGACAACUUGACCUCAAAUCGAGUAGGACUACCCGCUGAACUUAAGCAUAUAAUAAGCGGAGGA